GAGGAUUUAAUACCAAAUAAAACUAGCAAACAACUCAAACAGCUUGAAUUAACCUCAAACCAUCUUUAAAUCAAUCCAGAACAAUUUCUGAAGAGUUUAACACUUCAAACACACAUAUCUCUAGUUGCUUUUAGCUUGUAUGACUAAAAUUCUAAUUGACAACUGGAAAUUGGAAUUGUUCUGAAGAAAGAGGUUCUAAUGGGCAGUAAAACCUCUGGAAUUUCAGAGAAUUUCAUAAUUUUAUGAGCUUGGAAUUUCUGGAAUUGUUUUUUAGAAAUUUUUGGAGAUUUUUCAGACUGCAAAGGCUUUCUGGGAAUUUUAGAGGUCUCAGAUUGUGCCCCAGAACUUUGGGAAUUUUUUCUGGGAUUUUUGAC
This 374-nucleotide long non-coding RNA is filed under the name Nicotiana benthamiana. RNAcentral describes it as "long non-coding RNA (NBEN_LNC022072)". Lineage: Eukaryota; Viridiplantae; Streptophyta; Magnoliopsida; Solanales; Solanaceae. The record is from RNAcentral.